AUUCCAGCUCCAAUAGCGUAUAUUAAAGUUGUUGCAGUUAAAACGCUCGUAGUCGGAUUUCGGGGCGGGCCGACCGGUCUGCCGAUGGGUAUGCACUGGCCGGCGCGUCCUUCCACCCGGAGACCGCGCCUACUCUUAACUGAGCGGGCGCGGGAGACGGGUCUUUUACUUUGAAAAAAUCAGAGUGUUUCAAGCAGGCAGUCGCUCUUGCAUGGAUUAGCAUGGGAUAAUGAAAUAGGACUCUGGUGCUAUCUUGUUGGUCUUGCACGUCUAGGUAAUGAUUAAUAGGGAUAGUUGGGGGUAUUCAUAUUUAAUUGUCAGAGGUGAAAUUCUUGGAUUUAUGAAAGAUGAACUUAUGCGAAAGCAUUUACCAUGGAUGUUUUCAUUA
RNAcentral lists this ribosomal RNA (388 nucleotides) under Gephyrocapsa sp. Its description in RNAcentral is "partial small subunit ribosomal RNA". It matches the Rfam family "Eukaryotic small subunit ribosomal RNA", at positions 582 to 975 of the family's 1831-position model. The record is from RNAcentral. Lineage: Eukaryota; Haptophyta; Isochrysidales; Noelaerhabdaceae.